AUGUAUUUUUUUGUGUCUCCAUCCUCCAGACAAUGCCGGAGGAGCAGCUGGAGAACCACAGGGAGGCUCAUCAGAAGCACUUCAGUGGACUCAGAGACGAGAUCUAAGACAAGCGGAGGAUGCUGCAGGAUCUCAGAAAAACCGCGGAAGUUUUUCUGCGACGUGAUUGGUCAGCUGUGUCGGCUGGCUGAGCGUGUGUGUGUGUGUGUGUGUGUGUGUGUGUGUGUGUGCGUGUAUUCGUGGCUUCAUAUAAUAAGCAGCGCACUGACUGUUGUGCUGCUCGCUUGUUCCUUCCACUGCUCCAGCAUGACCGCGCACGUGACCCCAGACUUGGAGCUGGAGCUGGGUGAGUUGCUGCAGGAGUUCCAGGAUGUGGUGGAGGAGCUGAAGGCCCCGUUGCAAAGCAAACCUCAUGCAUACCAGCACAUGCUGCAGGAGGCCAAAACUCGCUCAGGGCGCGUGGACGACAGCGGAGUCGAGGACUCUGAUUACAGCAGCGAAGCUUCUUUGGGAAACAGUUUAACAACAAGCGAAGAAGAGCUUCACACAGCAGGCACAACGCUGGCACCGAAAGCCAAGCUGGGAGACACGAGGGAACUUGAGAGUUUUAUCGACAUGUUGGACCGGGAACUUGCAGAGAUGUGA
Long non-coding RNA from Gasterosteus aculeatus (three-spined stickleback), 645 nucleotides. The record is from Ensembl. NCBI's taxonomy places the organism in Eukaryota, Metazoa, Chordata, Actinopteri, Perciformes, Gasterosteidae.